This is a long non-coding RNA of Oncorhynchus nerka (sockeye salmon), 1984 nucleotides long. RefSeq lists it as uncharacterized. The record is from RefSeq and is a predicted model, not a curated record. NCBI's taxonomy places the organism in Eukaryota, Metazoa, Chordata, Actinopteri, Salmoniformes, Salmonidae. The transcript is spliced from 2 exons.
UUUUGACGUUCAUCACCGGAUUGCGUUUCAUUUGAUAGGCUACAUUUUUUUCCAUUAAUAAUUACUGCCUGCGUCUCGGUUAUAUCAAGGACGGACAAUUCGAUGUAUUAGUUACUCAAUAUGUUAAUCAGUCGAAAUGCCAGCAGGUAGCAGAACAACUAUGGCGAGCUCUGAAUCAUCGAGAAAAGUAUAAAGCUGAAAAUAUGACAACUAGGCCUACCAAGAAUUGGCUACAAUUGCCAACAUUGUUCCAUCAUGGCGUAACAUUUAACAUAUCAACGUUUGAUAUAACAUGACAGUGAAGAAUGUGAGGGUGGUAUAAUUAGGUGGCAAUGUGUAUUAGUUGGGUGAGUGUCAGAGAAAAUGGUAGCUUAUUAGUCGACCUGAGUUUUCAAAAGGCCAGUAAAAAGAGUAAAAACAAAAGACAAGUGACUUCGAUCAGUGUCUCAUUGAUGCAAAUGUGUAAAGGGGUGUGUCUUUGCCACUAGGAUUUCACAGUCCUUUUCUACACACCCUUCAAUAAUAGUACAAUCAUCACAGUCAGAAGAGGACAAGCCAUCUGAGGCCUCCUAGCCAGCUGCUUAGACAGGGCAUCCUCCAGCUUUCAUUACCCCAUGUGCUUAGCCUUUCUUGCUGGCUGGGACUGAAAUCCAGAAAAGAUCCAGACAUGAUUACUGCUGCUUAUGUCAGAGGACAAGUCACUCUUCUCUGAUAAGGACACAUAUAAAGUUUUAUGAGUGGAGAUGUUUAUGAGUUUCUUGUUAAAUUGUCUUUCAACCCAUUCUCUUAAAUGUUUAAAUUCCACCUGUGUCUGCAUCUAAUGUUUCUCUACUUGUUAAACAGAGGCCAGAAAUAUAUCGAAUGUAAUAAAUGUAGAUACUAAGUAAGAACAAACUUGGAUUUUUUGCGUGUGCAGCCUAUCUCUACGCUGAAUGUCAGUCUGCAAGACUUUUGAGUAAGCUGAUAUUGAGCUUUAUAUAUAUGUUUUGUUGGGUGUGGGGACUCCUGUCCUCAAGCAAGAGUUAUGGAUGCAAAGGGAUCUGAGGAACAUUUAAAAAAAAUCGAAGUCAAGUUUUUAACCAUUGUUAUUUUCUUUACAAACGCUUUGAAAUAAUAUAGUAUGAUUUAUCUGUGAUAGAAACACCAAUCGAAGGAUUUUAAAAAUGGAAUUACAAAGCAUCAACAAUAGAUCUGACCCGCGACAAAUUCUUCACCUGGAAGGCCCAAGACUGUCCCCUGAAAUCAAUGUUGGAGAUCAUUCUAAGACAUCACAUUGAAGGACAUAAAGACAUAAUACAUGGUAAAGCAUACUGAAUCAUCUACUUCUUGAAUGAUCAUUCCCAUAUCUGCUCUUUACAGAAGGUAAUACAGAUGAUAAGGAAUUAAAUUGUGGGUAAAGCAUUGUUAAACUACUGCUGUAGUUUUAUUUUUCAUGACCUAGUAACUGCUGAAGGUGAAUGAAUUACAGAAUAAGAUCUCCCUAGCUCUGGCAGAACUAGUGCGCCCUUGUGGAGACUAUGGGUAGCUCACCCUCACUCGCUGUUCCUAGUGCGAAAUGCUUUUGAGACUUUCCUGCCAAAGAAGAGGCUGAAAUCUGGGACAACUCCAUCCUCAUGCCAGCCUUAUUACAUCAACAGUUGUCACAAACUUCUUUACAGAAAUCCAGCCUAAAAACCCCACAGAGCAAGCAAUCCAGGUGCAGAAAAACAGUGGCCUGGAAAGGCCAAAUCAAAUCAAAGUUUAUAGGUCAUGUACAUAUAUUUGCAGAUGUUAUAGCAGGUGCAGCGAAAUACUUAUGUUUCUAGCUCCAACGGUGCAGUAACAUCUAGAAACAAUACAGUAACCCCAAAAAGUAGAAUGCUUGUUUUGGAACAUUUGUAUUCUUUAAUUUAUGUUAGUAUUGUGGAGUAACUACAAUGUUGUUGAUCCAUCCACAUUUUUCUCCUAUCACAGCCAUUAAACUCUGUAACUGUUUUAAAAUCCC